This 506-nucleotide long non-coding RNA is filed under the name Heterocephalus glaber (naked mole-rat). Its description in RNAcentral is "lncRNA (ENSHGLG00000043403.1)". The record is from RNAcentral. Lineage: Eukaryota; Metazoa; Chordata; Mammalia; Rodentia; Bathyergidae.
CUCUGGGGCCAGGAGGACAGAGCAACUGUACUAAUGCCUGGGUGCCCAGAGUCCCUGGGGCAGGGGCCGCCCAGCUCCUGGGAUUGCCCAGCUCAGCCCCGGGAAGUCUGACUGGGAUGGGCGAAGCCUUAUUCUCGGCCGCGUCAGCCAGGAAGCGGUCCUGAGUUCAGACUCCUUCCCCUUCCUGUGCUCCUGACCGCUCCUGGCGUCCUGGCGCCUGUUCCUGGGACACACCAGCCGUGUCCUGCCUGGGACAAUCACCUGGACUGCGCUUCUGCCUGGAACGCUGCUCCCUCCGUGUCUGGCUGGCCGCUUGCUGAGGUCCCUCUUUGCUGCAAGGCCUCUUUCUCCCUGGAGCCUGUUCUGAUCCCCCAUGCUGUUCCUCCCUUCCCCACUCCUUCCCAUGCCCCUGACUCCUUCUAACACACCACACCAUUGCUUCUUCUUCUUUUUUUAAAAAUCCGUUUGCUCUAAAAAGCAUUUCCUGUGCAACAGUGUGCUGUGUG